AAGGGGUUGAUUGAGUGGUACAAUAUCCUUCUUACACAUGGAAUGCCGCAGUUCGAUUCUGCGAUCCCUUA
Molecule: transfer RNA, 71 nt
Filed under: Serendipita indica DSM 11827
Lineage: Eukaryota; Fungi; Basidiomycota; Agaricomycetes; Sebacinales; Serendipitaceae
Description: Piriformospora indica DSM 11827 tRNA
Rfam family: tRNA
About the family: Transfer RNA (tRNA) molecules are approximately 80 nucleotides in length. Their secondary structure includes four short double-helical elements and three loops (D, anti-codon, and T loops). Further hydrogen bonds mediate the characteristic L-shaped molecular structure. tRNAs have two regions of fundamental functional importance: the anti-codon, which is responsible for specific mRNA codon recognition, and the 3' end, to which the tRNAs corresponding amino acid is attached (by aminoacyl-tRNA synthetases). tRNAs cope with the degeneracy of the genetic code in two manners: having more than one tRNA (with a specific anti-codon) for a particular amino acid; and 'wobble' base-pairing, i.e. permitting non-standard base-pairing at the 3rd anti-codon position.
Source: Rfam by way of RNAcentral